Molecule: ribosomal RNA, 305 nt
Filed under: uncultured bacterium
Lineage: Bacteria
Description: bacterial SSU rRNA
Rfam family: Bacterial small subunit ribosomal RNA
Source: RNAcentral
AUUGGCCUACGGGAGGCAGCAGUGAGGAAUAUUGGUCAAUGGGCGAGAGCCUGAACCAGCCAAGUCGCGUGAGGGAAGACGGUCCUAUGGAUUGUAAACCUCUUUUGCCGGGGAGCAAAAAGCGGUACGUGUACCGCAUCGAGAGUACCCGGAGAAAAAGCAUCGGCUAACUCCGUGCCAGCAGCCGCGGUAAUACGGAGGAUGCGAGCGUUAUCCGGAUUUAUUGGGUUUAAAGGGUGCGCAGGCGGCGAGUUAAGUCAGCGGUAAAAUUUCGGGGCUCAACCCCGUCGUGCCGUUGAAACUGG